GAGUUUGAUCGUGGCUCAGAUUGAACGCUGGCGGCAUGCCUUACACAUGCAAGUCGAACGGCAGCACGGGAGCUUGCUCCUGGUGGCGAGUGGCGAACGGGUGAGUAAUGCAUCGGAACGUAUCCUGGAGUGGGGGGAUAACGUAGCGAAAGUUACGCUAAUACCGCAUAUUCUGUGAGCAGGAAAGCGGGGGACCUUCGGGCCUCGCGCUCUUGGAGCGGCCGAUGUCGGAUUAGCUAGUUGGUGAGGUAAAGGCUCACCAAGGCGACGAUCCGUAGCAGGUCUGAGAGGAUGAUCUGCCACACUGGAACUGAGACACGGUCCAGACUCCUACGGGAGGCGAGCAGUGGGGAUUUUGGACAAUGGGGCAACCCUGAUCCAGCCAUGCCGCGUGAGUGAAGAAGGCC
This 407-nucleotide ribosomal RNA is filed under the name bacterium enrichment culture clone ALO1_GLFRUDD03FTJT5. Its description in RNAcentral is "bacterial SSU rRNA". It matches the Rfam family "Bacterial small subunit ribosomal RNA", at positions 9 to 416 of the family's 1533-position model. The record is from RNAcentral.